Homo sapiens (human) is the source of this 22743-nucleotide long non-coding RNA. Ensembl annotates it as nuclear paraspeckle assembly transcript 1. Its record names the gene NEAT1. Lineage: Eukaryota; Metazoa; Chordata; Mammalia; Primates; Hominidae. The record is from Ensembl.
GGAGUUAGCGACAGGGAGGGAUGCGCGCCUGGGUGUAGUUGUGGGGGAGGAAGUGGCUAGCUCAGGGCUUCAGGGGACAGACAGGGAGAGAUGACUGAGUUAGAUGAGACGAGGGGGCGGGCUGGGGGUGCGAGAAGGAAGCUUGGCAAGGAGACUAGGUCUAGGGGGACCACAGUGGGGCAGGCUGCAUGGAAAAUAUCCGCAGGGUCCCCCAGGCAGAACAGCCACGCUCCAGGCCAGGCUGUCCCUACUGCCUGGUGGAGGGGGAACUUGACCUCUGGGAGGGCGCCGCUCUUGCAUAGCUGAGCGAGCCCGGGUGCGCUGGUCUGUGUGGAAGGAGGAAGGCAGGGAGAGGUAGAAGGGGUGGAGGAGUCAGGAGGAAUAGGCCGCAGCAGCCCUGGAAAUGAUCAGGAAGGCAGGCAGUGGGUGCAGGGCUGCAGGAGGGCCGGGAGGGCUAAUCUUCAACUUGUCCAUGCCAGCAGCCCCUUUUUUUCCAGACCAAGGGCUGUGAACCCGCCUGGGGAUGAGGCCUGGUCUUGUGGAACUGAACUUAGCUCGACGGGGCUGACCGCUCUGGCCCAGGGUGGUAUGUAAUUUUCGCUCGGCCUGGGACGGGGCCCAGGCCGGGCCCAGCCUGGUGGAGCGUCCAGGUCUGGGUGCGAAGCCAGGCCCCUGGGCGGAGGUGAGGGGUGGUCUGAGGAGUGAUGUGGAGUUAAGGCGCCAUCCUCACCGGUGACUGGUGCGGCACCUAGCAUGUUUGACAGGCGGGGACUGCGAGGCACGCUGCUCGGGUGUUGGGGACAACAUUGACCAACGCUUUAUUUUCCAGGUGGCAGUGCUCCUUUUGGACUUUUCUCUAGGUUUGGCGCUAAACUCUUCUUGUGAGCUCACUCCACCCCUUCUUCCUCCCUUUAACUUAUCCAUUCACUUAAAACAUUACCUGGUCAUCUGGUAAGCCCGGGACAGUAAGCCGAGUGGCUGUUGGAGUCGGUAUUGUUGGUAAUGGUGGAGGAAGAGAGGCCUUCCCGCUGAGGCUGGGGUGGGGCGGAUCGGUGUUGCUUGCCUGCAGAGAGGGUGGGGAGUGAAUGUGCACCCUUGGGUGGGCCUGCAGCCAUCCAGCUGAAAGUUACAAAAAUGCUUCAUGGACCGUGGUUUGUUACUAUAGUGUUCCUCAUGGCGAGCAGAUGGAACCGGGAGACAUGGAGUCCCUGGCCAGUGUGAGUCCUAGCAUUGCAGGAGGGGAGACCCUGGAGGAGAGAGCCCGCCUCAAUUGAUGCCUGCAGAUUGAAUUUCCAGAGGCUUAGGAGGAGGAAGUUCUCCAAUGUUCUGUUUCCAGGCCUUGCUCAGGAAGCCCUGUAUUCAGGAGGCUACCAUUUAAAGUUUGCAGAUGAGCUUAUGGGGGGCAAUCUUAAAAAGUCCACAGCAGAUGCAUCCGGCUCGAGGGGCCAUCAGCUUUGAAUAAAUGCUUGUUCCAGAGCCCAUGAAUGCCAGCAGGCACCCCUCCUUUCCUGGGGUAAAGGUUUUCAGAUGCUGCAUCUUCUAAAUUGAGCCUCCGGUCAUACUAGUUUUGUGCUUGGAACCUUGCUUCAAGAAGAUCCCUAAGCUGUAGAACAUUUUAACGUUGAUGCCACAACGCAGAUUGAUGCCUUGUAGAUGGAGCUUGCAGAUGGAGCCCCGUGACCUCUCACCUACCCACCUGUUUGCCUGCCUUCUUGUGCGUUUCUCGGAGAAGUUCUUAGCCUGAUGAAAUAACUUGGGGCGUUGAAGAGCUGUUUAAUUUUAAAUGCCUUAGACUGGGGAUAUAUUAGAGGAAGCAGAUUGUCAAAUUAAGGGUGUCAUUGUGUUGUGCUAAACGCUGGGAGGGUACAAGUUGGUCAUUCCUAAAUCUGUGUGUGAGAAAUGGCAGGUCUAGUUUGGGCAUUGUGAUUGCAUUGCAGAUUACUAGGAGAAGGGAAUGGUGGGUACACCGGUAGUGCUCUUUUGUUCUUGCUUCGUUUUUUUAAACUUGAACUUUACUUCGUUAGAUUUCAUAAUACUUUCUUGGCAUUCUAGUAAGAGGACCCUGAGGUGGGAGUUGUGGGGGACGGGGAGAAGGGGACAGCUUGGCACCGGUCCCGUGGGCGUUGCAGUGUGGGGGAUGGGGGUAUGCAGCUUGGCACUGGUACUGGGAGGGAUGAGGGUGAAGAAGGGGAGAGGGUUGGUUAGAGAUACAGUGUGGGUGGUGGGGGUGGUAGGAAAUGCAGGUUGAAGGGAAUUCUCUGGGGCUUUGGGGAAUUUAGUGCGUGGGUGAGCCAAGAAAAUACUAAUUAAUAAUAGUAAGUUGUUAGUGUUGGUUAAGUUGUUGCUUGGAAGUGAGAAGUUGCUUAGAAACUUUCCAAAGUGCUUAGAACUUUAAGUGCAAACAGACAAACUAACAAACAAAAAUUGUUUUGCUUUGCUACAAGGUGGGGAAGACUGAAGAAGUGUUAACUGAAAACAGGUGACACAGAGUCACCAGUUUUCCGAGAACCAAAGGGAGGGGUGUGUGAUGCCAUCUCACAGGCAGGGGAAAUGUCUUUACCAGCUUCCUCCUGGUGGCCAAGACAGCCUGUUUCAGAGGGUUGUUUUGUUUGGGGUGUGGGUGUUAUCAAGUGAAUUAGUCACUUGAAAGAUGGGCGUCAGACUUGCAUACGCAGCAGAUCAGCAUCCUUCGCUGCCCCUUAGCAACUUAGGUGGUUGAUUUGAAACUGUGAAGGUGUGAUUUUUUCAGGAGCUGGAAGUCUUAGAAAAGCCUUGUAAAUGCCUAUAUUGUGGGCUUUUAACGUAUUUAAGGGACCACUUAAGACGAGAUUAGAUGGGCUCUUCUGGAUUUGUUCCUCAUUUGUCACAGGUGUCUUGUGAUUGAAAAUCAUGAGCGAAGUGAAAUUGCAUUGAAUUUCAAGGGAAUUUAGUAUGUAAAUCGUGCCUUAGAAACACAUCUGUUGUCUUUUCUGUGUUUGGUCGAUAUUAAUAAUGGCAAAAUUUUUGCCUAUCUAGUAUCUUCAAAUUGUAGUCUUUGUAACAACCAAAUAACCUUUUGUGGUCACUGUAAAAUUAAUAUUUGGUAGACAGAAUCCAUGUACCUUUGCUAAGGUUAGAAUGAAUAAUUUAUUGUAUUUUUAAUUUGAAUGUUUGUGCUUUUUAAAUGAGCCAAGACUAGAGGGGAAACUAUCACCUAAAAUCAGUUUGGAAAACAAGACCUAAAAAGGGAAGGGGAUGGGGAUUGUGGGGAGAGAGUGGGCGAGGUGCCUUUACUACAUGUGUGAUCUGAAAACCCUGCUUGGUUCUGAGCUGCGUCUAUUGAAUUGGUAAAGUAAUACCAAUGGCUUUUUAUCAUUUCCUUCUUCCCUUUAAGUUUCACUUGAAAUUUUAAAAAUCAUGGUUAUUUUUAUCGUUGGGAUCUUUCUGUCUUCUGGGUUCCAUUUUUUAAAUGUUUAAAAAUAUGUUGACAUGGUAGUUCAGUUCUUAACCAAUGACUUGGGGAUGAUGCAAACAAUUACUGUCGUUGGGAUUUAGAGUGUAUUAGUCACGCAUGUAUGGGGAAGUAGUCUCGGGUAUGCUGUUGUGAAAUUGAAACUGUAAAAGUAGAUGGUUGAAAGUACUGGUAUGUUGCUCUGUAUGGUAAGAACUAAUUCUGUUACGUCAUGUACAUAAUUACUAAUCACUUUUCUUCCCCUUUACAGCACAAAUAAAGUUUGAGUUCUAAACUCAUUAGAAUUGUUGUAUUGCUAUGUUACAUUUCUCGACCCCUAUCACAUUGCCUUCAUAACGACUUUGGAUGUAUCUUCAUAUUGUAGAUUUAGGUCUAGAUUUGCUAGCUCCAAGUAAUUAAGGCCAUGUAGGAGAGCAUGGUAACCACAGAUAGAACUGGUAUUAUCCCAAGUGGUCUGCAGACUGCUGAGUGGGGAUGGGAUCUGCUCUCUGUUGAGAGUUGGUAAUCAUUGGUUUGAAAUGUGAUGAAACCACUCAAGCCAAUGAAGGUGGGUGUGUAGGUGGGGAGUACUUUGCCAUAAUAUUUUAAAACAUUACCUGGUUAGAGUUCUAAGUGGUACUUAUUUUUGUUUGGUUAGGGGAAAGCCUGAAUAAAAACAGAAAUGGACACAUAAUAUGCAUAUUCCAUAGUCUUUGGGAGGCUGGAAUGUGCCUGGGAUUUGGGUCUAAGUGUAUGCGUAAUUCUUACCUCACUAAAGAAUUUGCCUUGUUUUUUUCCUUUUGGUGAGUGACUAAAACGUCUGGGCUUCCCUGUGUGCGUGCUACAGUAAGCAAGCAGAGGCUGUGCAAAGGUGUGAGCAGGAUCACGUGGAAUCUGGAGGAUACAUCUUGGCUUGCAAACUGCCUCUGUCUCCUGGGUGGGACUGUUCUGUCCUUGCACUGCUGUUCUGUGUUACCUCUUGGGGUGUAAGGUUUUGCUUACAGGAGACAAACUUUGGGCGUAGAAUGGAAGCCACUGCCAGCCUCUGUGCUGAGAAGGAAGGUGCUUGUUUCAAAGGGAGCAGCAAGGGAGGCUUGUUCUACUCACCUGGGCCUGUUUGCCUGAGAAGGGGAGAUAAGGGCUGAACUGGGACUAGCCAGGGGGACCAACACAAAUGGUGGGGGAUCAUGACCUGAAGGAUUCUUUCCUUCCCAUGAGCUGCAGGGCUGGUUGCCGUCCUUGCAACUGUGUCUUAUUUGCCUGUGCCGUUAUAUCUUGGUGACCCCUCCACGUGUACACUACUGACAAACGGGUGGAGUGCUGGGGAGAAGUCACUGUGCCGCCCACCUAGUAAACCUUCUGUCUGUGCUCAUGGCAUCUCCAAGAUGGGGCACUGCUGUGUGCAGAAUCCAGGGUCCUCUUUCUGCUUGCAACUCCUUUCCCUGGAUGCCCCAGAAACAAUCCAGGCCUCCUUUCCUAUCUUACCCCUUUGCUUUGCUUUUUACCCCAGCACCUCUAUAACCGCCUUCUCUUCUUUUCAGAACUCCUUGUUUCUCGUCCUGUUUUUUAUGAUUACAAAACUCUUGCUUCCACCCUGGAAGAUAACUGCUAUAGAUGCCUGUAUGUAAAUGGUGCUGUCUCCAGCAACUGGCAUGCUGAAGAAGAAUUGAUUCACGGGGUAUAAAUGUUGGGGAUUGGAAGUGGGGAUGAAAUGGCACUUGUUGAUACAGGAGCAGAGAGGUGAGGCCGACUGCUGAAGACAGCUCGCCACCCUCCUUGCCUCCACUCCAAUCCAGGGGCUGGGGCCACAUUCUUUGCCUUCAUUUAUCCUCAGAUCAGGUGAGAUCGACAGGAGGUGUUGAUGGCAGUGCCAGCAAUUAUUGCUAAUCCGUUUGCAUCCUUAUGCAUAGAUCUGAAUUCAGACUUUGUGAAUUUCCAGAGGUGUGGGUAAUAUAAUAGAAUUCAGUGAGUGGGCAUGGCUGAUCUUGUGCAAAUUAAAAGUUAUGGGGCAUAAGAAUAGCAAAAGUUGAACUUCUUUUAAAAAGGAAAGUACCCUGAGAGCCAGUAUUGGUUGAGGCUCUUCAGUAUGCCCAGGUUGGCAGCACUGAGAACCGCAGGAACGGCCUGUUGUUACAAAAAGGAGAUUGACUCAGCUGCCCUUGGUGCAUCUGACUGACUAUGACUGCUGAGAGAUUCCAAGGACCCUUAAUGCCAGGGCUAACCUCUCCAUGUGCAGUGAGACCUCUGGAGGAAGUGUCAUCCUCUGGCUUUGUGUGGUACUCAUUAUGGUGCAGUGCGGGCAUGAAAUGAAGACACCCAAAUAGGCUUACAGAUACGAUAUGUUUUAAAUGUUCGUAUUUAACAAAAACAUACUGACACUGUUUGGAAAUGGCAACAGGAAGAUAGCAAAAUGAAUACUAACAUUACGAAAAGAUGAACAGGUACAUGUUCCAAGGCAGGUGGCUGUGAACUUCCUCUGAGUGAAGGCAUCCCCUCCAGCACCUUUCAGCCUGCUAGUUAGGACGACCCGCCGCCACCCUCCAGGACCUCCAGCCCUGCACUGCCUUUCCUCUCUUUUAAAUAAUUCUUCAUUGAGUUCUAAUAUGUAAAAAAAAAAAGUUUACUGUAAAGUUUGCAAAUAAGGAAAUUUUUUUUAAAAGUCCUCAGUAAUCUUACCAGUAACAAUUGUUAUGGGCACAUUUGCUUUUGGAAGAUUUCUUUUGUAUGCAUGGGAUAAGUACAUUUUUAAACAAAAAUGGGAUUAUGCCAUAAAUUCUAUUUUGUGACUUUAAUAUAUAGUGAACACCUUUUUUAAUGAUGACAGGAUGUUCCCUUGCAUGGCUGUAUCAAUUUAAACAAUCUUGUUUCAAUGGGCAUACAGGGUAUUUUCUAGUUUUUUUUUCCUCUUAGAAAAUAAUACUUGCGAUGACUUUCCUUGUAGCUCAGACUUUUUCACGUCUGUUGUUAUCUCUUUGGGAAUGCUGAAUACAUACAUUUCGAGAAGGAAAUGACUGUUAAACUCUUAAGACUUCAGGUUCAUAUUGCUAAACUGCCCAGCAGGGAGGGAUUUUUUCAAUUAGUGUUCUCACUGGUGAGGCAAACCUGAUGCCUUCCCCUCUUCCUCAGAACCGGCUUUAUCACAUUGAAAACCUUUGCUCCUCCGACGGAUCGAGUCUGCUUUCCCUCUGGAUGUGAGCAUUGCUUUGUCUGCUGGUGACUGAACAUCUCUACCUUGUGUCAAUUGGCCAUUUGUGGUGUGUGUGUGUGUGCGUGUGUGUGUGUGUGUGUGUGUAUGAUUUUCUAAUUCCUAGUCAUUUUUCUAUUGAUUGUUUUGCAAAAGCCAUUUACAUCUUAAGGAUAUUGAUAAUCUUUUGUUAUAUUUGAUGCAAAUAUUUUUUUCCAGUUUAUAGGUUGCCUUUUAAUUUUGUGUUUCAGGUAGAUAAAAGUUAAACGAUUUUCUUAGGUUAGUUUAUCACUGUGGUUUCUGAACUUGUUAUGUGUAGAUCUUUUCCACCCCAAGAGUACAUAAAUAUUAAUCCAUACUUUCUUAUGGAACUUGUAUGGUUUCGUUUUUUACAUUUAAACCUUCUUCCCCGUGGUGUGUGUUGUGGAAUCUGUGUUUGUGUGAGGAGGGGCAUGGUGCUCUCAGAACCCACCUCCUGUGGCCAGAGAGCCCUGUCCUGUGAGGGUGGUUGUCACAGUGGCAGGGUUCAAUUCAGAAGACCUUGAGGGCAGGCUGAUGUUUCCUGAAUGGGCCCCUGGUUGUUGCUUGUCCCUGACUCUCCAUUUCCCCAUCUGAGUGGAUUUGGACCUAAUAGGGCACUGGAGCUGGUUCGAAUCCUGACUGGACUACUUGGCAACUUUAUGUCUGGGAGCAAGUUACUUAACCUCCCCAAGCCUGUGUCUGUGAAAUGCGGGUAAAUGAAUGUAGAUGUUUGGCAGCAGCUACUCCUUGUUGAGCUCUCACAGUGAACUCUCCUGCCUCUGCCCUCCUUCCCCGCCUCCCCUGGUGCCUAGCGUCAGGUCUAGCCACUUCCUCCUGGGCCCCUCUCCCUUUUCUGUGGCUGGCUGCCUGCCCGCCUGGCGCUGGACCUUUCAUGUAACGGGAAUCAGCAUGUAUAUUCUGGUCUGGUCUGUUUCUACACUUAAUUUUGUUUCCAGUAGUAUUUCCCUGUACCGGCAGAGUUCACAAACACAUUUGAAGAGGCUUUUUCUCAGGAUUCUUAACCUUCCCAAAGGAAGUCCCAUGGAUGGGUUUCUAGAAGUCUAUAAAUGCUCUGAAAUUGUAUUUUUCUGUGGAAAGCAUAACUUUCAUCUGCUUGUUCGUGCUCAAAAAAGAUCAUGAAUGAAUGAUUGCAUGAUUUUAUGCCAUUGUGCUUAUACUAAAGGAUAUGUAGCCCAUCUCUUGAGCUGUUAAACUGUUUUGACUACUUUAAAUCGUGCAGCUGUGAGCAUCUCUGUAAAUUUAGUGUACACAUGUAUCCCCUGGAGUGGCAUUGCCUCGGCAGUGAGCACUUAUGGUUUUAUAACUCUCUUCACAGACUCAAAUGACUCCAGAAAGCUACACUUCCUGUUGUGAGUAUAUGAUAUCCAUUUCCCUACAUAGCCACUAACAUCAGGUUUUUACAAUUUUAUUUAUUUCUUGCUACUUUAAGAAAUUUUUGUGGUGAAAUACAUAUAAUAGAAGUUGACUAUCUGAAUCAUUUUUAAGUAUACAUUCAGUAGUGUUAAGUAUGUCGCCAUUGUUGUACAACCAAUCUCCAGAACUUUUUCAUCUUGCAAAACAAACUCUGUACCCAUUAAAUAACAUUAAACAUUCCAUUCCCUCCAGCCUCAGCAACCCCAUUCUACUUUCUGUUUCUGUGAGUUUGACUAUUCCAAGCACUUCAUAUCAGUUAAAUCAUGAAGUAUUUGUCUGUCUGUGACUGGCUUAUUUCUCUGAGCACAGUGUCCUCGAGAUGCGUCUAUGUUGUAGCAUAUGUCAGAAUUUCCUUCCUUUUUAAAAGAUCCAAAUAAUAUUCUUAUUUUAUAUCUUUUUUUUAUCCAUUCAUCCAUUAGUGGACACUUGGGUUGCUUUUGGCUAUUGUAAAUAAUGGUGCUAUGUACAAAUAUCUAUAUUAUUGUAUUUACAAGUAUAAUGCUGUAAUGUACACACAUCUUUUUGAGAUCCUACCUUCAGUUCUUUUGAGUAUAUAGCCAGAAGUGGUAUUACUAAAUCUUACGAUAUUUCUAUUUUUAAUUUAUUGAGGAACCACUGUAGUUUUUCAUAGCAACUGCACCAUUUUACGUUCUCACCAAGAGUGCACAAGGGUUCCGAGGUUCCCACAUCCUCCCCAACACUUGUUAUUUUCUGCUUUUUUUAGAUUGCAGCCAUCAUAGUGGGUGUGAGGUGACAUUUCAUUGUGGUUUUGAUUUGCAUUUCCCUAAUGAGGAGUGAUGCUGAGCAUCUUUUCAUAUGCUUACUGGUCAUUUGUAUGUUGUCUUUGGAAAAAUGUCUAUUCAAGUCCUUUGACUAUUUUAAAAAUUGGGUUAUUAGAGUUAUCGUUGUUGUUGACUUGUAGGAGUUUCUUUCUAUAUUCUGGAUAUUAAUCCCCUAUCAGAUAUAUGAUUUGCAAAUAUCUUCUCUUAUUCCAUAAGGUUACUUUUUCACUUUGUUGAUUGUGUUCUUUGAUGUAUAGAAGUUUUUAGUUUUGAAAUAGUCUAAUUUAUCUGUUUUUACUUUUGUGGUCUGUGCUUUUGGUGUCAUAUCCAAGAAAUCCUUGCCAAAUCCAACGUUAUAAGGUACUUUUAAGGUAUUUUAGUUGUCUUAGUCUAUAUUUCUGUACUCACCUUUCUUUAUCCACUCAUCAGUUGAUGGGCAUGUAGGUUGGUUCCAUAUCUUUGCAAUUCUGAAUUGUGCUAUGAUCAGGUGUCUUUUUAGUAUAAUGAUUUACUCUCCUUUGGGUAGAUACCCAGUAGUGGGAUUGCUGGAUCGAAUGGUUUUUAUAAUUUUCUAUUUUACCACAGUUUCUCUCUGCAUUUUUCCUCUUUGACCACUAACCAUGUGAAAUUCUCAUAUUGACCUUUAUAAUGAUCAUGAACUCUUAGUAUCAUUGGGAAGGCCACAUUUGCCACUUAUGAUUGUAAACCUUAUCCUCCAUUUUUCCUGUUAUUGUUGGUGCAAAAAGCACCUAUUAUACCAGGACUUUAAAAAUCAGUCUGAUAAGUCUUUGAUAAGUCUAAUAAUAAUAACUGAUAAGUCCAUUGAAUUUGCUUCUGAUUACUUUUUCUUUAGUAGCUAAACAUGUAUGUACUCCUAUGAUUACAAUGAACACUCCUCUCCAUUUAAAUUAAUUAUUUACAUUGAUGAAAUAGCAAAAUGUUAAUGACUAAAUACUGUCUUGGUUUUUUCGUUCCAGGUCAGUCAAUAUUAACUUCUUAUAAUUUUCUUUUUUUUCUUUAUGUGUGUGUGUGUGUGUAUUUUUUUUUUUUUAAUUUCAAUGGCUUUUGGGGUACAAAUGGCUUUUGGUCAUAUAGAUGAAUUCUACAGUAGUGAAGUCUGAGAUUUUACUGCACCGGUCACCUGAGUAGUGUACAUUGUACCCAAUAUGUGGUUUUUUAUACCUUGCCCCCCUCUUACCCUCCCCACUUUGAGUCUCUAGUGUCCAUUAUGUCACUCUGUAUACCUUUUUGUACCCAUAAGUUAGCUCUCACUUAUAAGUGAGAACACACAGUAUUUGGUUUUCCAUUCCUGAGUUGCUUCACUUAGAAUAAUAUCCUCCAGCUCCAUCCAAAAUUGCUGCAAAAAAAAAAAAAACCACAAACAUUAUUUUGUUCUUUUUUAUUGCUAAGUCAUAUUCCAUGGUGUAGAGAUACCACAUUUUAUUUAUCCACUCACUGGUUGAUGGGUUGGUUCCACAUCUUUGCAAUUGUGACUUGUACUGCCAUCAAGUGUCUUUCUGGUAUAAUGACUUCUUUUCCUUUGGGUAGAUACCCAGGAGUGGGAUUGCUAGAUCAAAUGGUUCUUAACAUUUUCUCUCUGGAUCUAUUUCUGGAAAUUUUAGGCUCCAGUUUUUGUUGUUGUUGUUAAUAAAAUGCAAUGGAAUGUAAUGAUCAUCACUUUUCAUUAUGCUUUAAAAUCUGGUAAAUGGAGGCUAGAACACUCCUGUAAGGCAAGAAUAUUCUCUCUGUUGGAACUCAAAUACACAGAACUGGGUAAAUCUCAAUCUUAAUCUUUGAUUCAGGACACAACAUGGCUCUCUUUUACUUGCUUUCUUUAAUUGUUUUUUAAUAAUGUGGUAAGCAUUUCUGAAUCUCCUAUCCAAUACAAAAACUAGGACAAUACAGACAGUAACUCCUAUGGUUACAAUGAACACUCCUCUCCACUUAAAUUAAUUAUUUACACUGAUGAAAUUGAAAUAGCAAAAUUUUAAUGACUAAAUACUGUCUUUGAUUUUUUGUUCCAGGUCUGUCAAUAUUAACUUCUUAUAAUUUUCUUUUUUUUUCUUUAUGUGUGUGUGUGUGUGUGUAUAUAUAUAUAUUUAAUUUCAAUGGCUUUUGGGGUACAAAUGGCUUUUGGUCAUAUAUAUGAGUUCUACAGUAGUGAAGUCUGAGAUUUUACUACACCUUCCACUUAUGUGGUCCCACACCACCCGCCUCCCCUGCCGCCUCCUGCCACCCCCUAGGCCAAGGUAAUAAUCAUCCUGAAUCCUGGGUUUAUCUCUCACUUGCUUUCUUUUCAUAUAAUUUUGCAAAAGAAUCUGAUCUAAAUGUGUUUUUCAGAGUAUAUAUUUAUAUUUUAGCUGUUCUUAGAGAAAAUUUAUUAUUUUGCAUGUAAUCUUAUGGAACAUUCUCAUUUAAUACCAUGGUAAGAUUCAGCCCUUGCCCAGGGGAUAGUUCAUUUAGUUUGUUUACUGGAUAGAGCUCAUCAUGUGACUAUACCUCAGUUAGUUUAUCAGUUCUCCCAUCCAUGGUGACUAGGUUGCCUCUCAGCCUCUCAACAACACUGUUUCUCAGUGUCCUUGUAGAAGUGAUAUGUGGGUGUUUUCUCCUUACACAGAGUUGAAAGGUGACGACAACAACGUUGGCACUACCAAUCCCCCACCCUCCAGAGGGGUAACCAGUGUUACCAGUUUGCUGUGUUUCCUGCUACACCUCGCCUUAUUCACUUCCAUUUGUAUCUGAAAAACGUGUUGCAUGGUUUCUUUUCUAUAGAAGUGGUAAAAUGCUAUUGUGUCCUGUACAUUAUUGAUUACUUUUUUUCAUUUAACAGUAGGGAGAUGCCUGGGAGUACACAGAGAACUGCCCUCAUUGUUUUCAACUUCUGCACUGUAUGUCUGUGAGUUUAGCCAUUCUGCUGUUAAUGGAAAUUUACAGUAUUCUAAUCUUUUGAUAUUACAAACAGUUCUGUGCGAUCAUCGUCAUACACAACCCCUUGUGCACAAUGCAUGAGUGUUUCUCAGGGUAGGUACCAAGAAGUGAAAUUCCUGGGUCAUAGGGCGUGAGUCCGACAUUUUUCUCCAUUCUGCCCUGUUGCCCUCCAGAGUGGGUGUCCAGCUUUGCAUACCUAAGUAUGAGAGUAUCUGUUGUUCAUAUCCUCUACGACGCUCCAUAUAUGAAACUUAAGUUUCUGCUAGUUGCCAUCUUUGAUCUAUCAUGUAUGCAGUGACCUACUAAGACUGUAAUUGGUACAGUAGAUUCUUGUCAUCUGUGUGUGAAUUUAGCAUUCAUGGGCUUAAUGCUGACAAGGCCCCCAGGGUCCAAGACAUAUAAUCAUGUAUAAUUUUGUCAAGGUAUAAUUUUUUAAAUUGCUUUUGUCAUGUGUCUGCUGGUGAUGCCCAACCCAGUGCUCUGCACCCAGGUCACACUGUGGCUUUGUCCUCUGCUUAUGCCUGCAUUGCAGCAACUGUCCUGAAGAGACCAAAAUUAUGCAGAUUUAGGUAAGUCCAUGGCUAAUGUUAUUAUAUUAUGUGCUAUUGUAAUGGAUGGGGCUGUGGAGUGUAUGAAUUUAUAAAUCACUGGUCUUGUAAUUAAAAUUCAAACACUAUAGAAAAAGGCCAUGUAGAAGAUAAAAGUUCCUCUAUAAUCCCGGACCCCUAAGAUAACUACUAAUGACAACUUCAUUUAUAUUCCUUCAGACAUUUUCUGGCUGUGGAUGUACUAAAAUGUAUCCUAUUAUUCUCUGCCCUAAAAUGGAAUCAUACAAGGUGUACUGUUAUUUUUAUGGCUCUAUAACAUGUCAUAUUGUACGUGUUGGUAUGGUCAUUUUAACCAUUUUUCUAGUGAUGGCUUUGAGGUUAUUUGCAGUUUCCUAGCCAUCUCAAAGUGUGCUGCGGGGAUCUCUUUUGCAUCCCUCUGGGUGCAGAGCUGAGGCACCCAGAGGCAGUGUCCAGAGGAGGCAGCAUCUGUAGGUGUCUUCACCUGCUCUGGCUCUUGGCACAUCUGGUUGGUGACACUGUUUUGUGAGAUGGGUUGAAAGCACGUGCUGCCAAAAUAGAAUAAUGUUGGUCCUCUCCUCAUGUGCCGUGGAACUGGGGUAAAACUGCGUAGUGGCUGCAGCUGCCUGUCCAUACCGGAAUCGAGUAUAACACGGUGCCUGGCUUAGCACAAAACAGUAGUGGGUCCUGCAGGCCCCAGAGUCUAAUUCCUGGUAUUCUUUCCCCUACACAGAUUAAAUAAACCAAAAACAAACUAUUCUAGGAAAGCGUCUGUGACAUUUGUAAAAAGUGGUAUUUAAUGAUCUUUUAUUCACUUGUCUGUUUAGUUUGUUGAAAUCUUAAGUGGCAUCCUGGUCUGGGAAGGAGUGCUGUCUGCGCCUGCCCUCCGCUGGGCACAGCGUGGCUGCUUCAGGGGCUAAGCACACACUUUCUGUCUUCUAAAGGGCCGCCACAUGCCAGGAGCUCAGGUGUGAGCCCGGCUCUGGCUCUUACCUCAUAGGGUCACUCAUAGGGGCACAGGGAGCAGAACAUUGUACACAGCGAGGCACCACCCGGCUUGGCAUCUGCCUCGGUGGACUUACUACCUCUAGAAGGAAAUACCUGAGUUCCUCUGGCCUCAGCUCCUAGAGUGACUGGUGUGCUGUCCCUGUUACUCUUCUGUCAAGGUGACAACUGUGUGACCCAUCAUCUGUGUGUCAAAGCAAGGCCCUGCCUGGGCCUCUGCUCCUGUGCUGACCCCAAAGGCAAAUGCUUUGCUAGUUUCCUUCCAGUUAAUUUCACCUAUGAAUAGAUGUGUGAAAACUGUUCAAAGCCAUACCUGCACAUGUUUGAACUUCAAACCCUGUGGGUGAUUCAGUGGCAUCUUUCUCUAACCCCCAGCCUCCCUUCCCACAGAGGCCACCGUCAUGGCCAGUUGCUGCAGUUUCUUUCCAGAGAACCUGUGUAUGUGUAAAGCUGUACAGGCGUGGGUACACCACACAGCCUGUCUUGCACUGUGGACUGUUGAGUUACUAGUACAUCUAGGUAAGCACCGCAUAUCUGUAUUCAUGUCUGCCUUGGUCUUUUCAACAUCUGUGUGGUAGCCGUGUUUGAAUUACCCAUUCCCUUUUUGGGGAACCAUUAAGUUGUUUCAGCAAUUUUUACUGUAGAUAAGGCUAUACCGCAUAUCUGUGUACAUGGGUUUUUAUGUACAUGGGCAAGUAUAUCUGUGAGAGAAAAGUUUCCUCAGGAGGAAUUCUGGGCACAGCAUGUGUAAAUUUCUAAAUAUGAUGGACACCCCCAGCUUCCACCUCAAGGAGGUUGGUCCCAUUGACAUUUCCCCACACCUUCACCCAGGCUGUGCCCUUAAACUUGGUUAUUUGUCAAUGUGAGAAGUGGAAAAUAGUAUUUAAUUGUAGUUUGGAUUUGUAUUUCUAUUGGGUUGUAUACUUACUGAUUAAUAAUAAGAGCUCUUUACAUAUUAAGGAAAUUAACCCUUUUCAAAUACAUUCCUAUUUCUCACUAAUCUUUAAGUUUUAUUGUAAUAUUUUGCUCUUUAGUUUAUAUAUAUAUGUAUAUAUAUAUAUAUGUAUAUAUAUAUAUAUACAUAUAUAUAUACAUAUAUAUAUACUAAUUUUCUUUUAUGGUUCCUGGAUUUUGUGAGUAGUUUGAAAAGGCUAAUCCAGCUGAAGAUUUUGUUGUUGUUGUUAAACCCCAUGUUUUCUCCUAACUCUUUUUAUUUUUAUUUUGGAGGACUCUAUCUAGACUUAAUUUUAGCAUAACAAGUGACAGGGUUAGUUAGCCUGUUGUCCUUACACCAUUUUCUGGCUAAUACAGCUAUUAACUAUUGAUCUGUCUAUUCACGUGCCAGUUCCUAAUGGUUUUACAUAGUGUAAUCUGCACUUCAAAAUAGCGAAGGGAAGCCCUACCUCAUUAUUCUACUUUUCCAGAAUUCUCCUGGCUAUUCCAGGCUGCAUGUUUACCUUAACCUUCCCUGUGAUGUCUUCAUGCCGUUGUCUUCUUAUGCAAGAAUAAGGUACGUCUUUCCAUCCACUCACGUCUAUUUAAUUUGACUUUGCAUUACACAGAAAGCUGGUCUUGGUCUGUCUACCUCGGCAUCUAGUUGUCCUCACUGCCCCCUAGCCGACCCCACCCCAUCUGACUGACUACCCCAUCACAGAGUACUUUUAUUUACGUUUUGCUCUGCCUAAUGGUUACUUGAUACUGUCACGCCGACAGUGUCCAGUUCAGUGGUCUUUGCAGUUGAAAUGCUCCCGUACACACUGUCUUGUUAAAAAUGCCAGUAAGUUCAUACAAACCCAGCUUGCACCCAAGGUCACAUUCAGAGAGCGUAGGGCUGGGAUGGGUUGUUUUCCAAGCUUCUGCCACUGUGUGGCUAGCUCUUCCCACUGGGAAGUUCUGUGUACCCGGAAUGUCGGAGUGGAGUCCUGUUCUAGUGUCCAGCACCUGACCCUGUGCCCAACCCCUCAACAGCCUAUUCCUGCUGUCCACAGCCUGCUGGAACUUUUUACAAAAUAUGUUGCCAUGCUGGACCCUGGGCACUGGACAUAAGCCCCCUGGCAGCCUUUUUCAUGUCACCCAAAGGGGUAAUUGUCCUACUGGUGGUCUGUAAGAUGAGUUAGGGUGACUUGCUAAUAGACAUUGUAAAUCUUAAUAUUUAUGUAUGUAUUUUAUUAUUACCGGUUUUCCAUUUAUGAUGGUAAUAUUGUUUCUUCUAAGAAUAUUUAUUUUUCCUUCUAAAUAUUGAGAUAAAAUUCAUGCUUUUGAAAUGUUCUAUUCAGUGGCUUUUAGUAUAUUUGCUAUGUUGUGCAACCAUCGACACUAUCCAUUUCUAGAACUUUUUCGUCAUCCCAAACAGACGCUCUGUAUUCAUAAAAAAAUAACUUCCUACCUGUCUCUCCCCCUAGUCUUUGGUAACCUUUGUUAUACUGGUAAACUUUGUUGUGCUCUCUGUCUGUGUGAAUUUGCCUAUUCUAGGGGCCUCAUAUAAGUGUAAUCAUACAGUAUUUGUCUUUUUGGGUCUGUCUGAUUUCACUUAGCGGGUUUUCAGGGUUCAUUCAUGUUGCAGCAUAUAACAGUACUGCGUUCCUUUUUCUGGCUGAAUAAUAUUCCACUGUAUGGAUAGACCCCAUUUUGUUUAUUCACACAUCAUUUGGACAUUUGGAUUAUUUCUGGUUUUUGGCUAUUAUGAACAAUGGUGCUAUGAACAGUUGCGUACAAGUUUUUGUGUGAACAUAUGUUUUCAAUUCUCUCAUUAUAUACCUAGGAGUAGAAUUACUGGGUCAUAUGGUAACUGUAUAUUUUUGAGGAACUGCCAAACUAUUUUCCCACGUCCAUGCACCAUUUCACAUUCCCACCAGUAAGUAAGAGGGUUCCAAUUUCUGCGCAUUCUUGCCAACACUAGUUAUUAUCUGACUUUCUGGUUAUAAUCAUUCUAAUGAGUGUGAAGUAGCCUCUGGUGUCAUUUGGAUUUGCAUUUCUCUGAUGAGUGAUGCUAUCAAGCACCUUUGCUGGUGCUGUUGGCCAUAUGUGUAUGUUCCCUGGAGAAGUGUCUGUGCUGAGCCUUGGCCCACUUUUUAAUUAGGCGUUUGUCUUUUUAUUACUGAGUUGUAAGAGUUCUUUAUAUAUUCUGGAUUCUAGACCCUUAUCAGAUACAUGGUUUGCAAAUAUUUUCUCCCAUUCUGUGGGUUGUGUUUUCACUUUAUCGAUAAUGUCCUUAGACAUAUAAUAAAUUUGUAUUUUAAAAGUGACUUGAUUUGGCUGUGCAAGGUGGCUCACGCUUGUAAUCCCAGCACUUUGGGAGACUGAGGUGGGUGGAUCAUAUGAGGAGGCUAGGAGUUCGAGGUCAGCCUGGCCAGCAUAGCGAAAACUUGUCUCUACUAAAAAUACAAAAAUUAGUCAGGCAUGGUGGUGCACGUCUGUAAUACCAGCUUCUCAGGAGGCUGAGGCACGAGGAUCACUUGAACCCAGGAGGAGGAGGUUGCAGUGAGCUGAGAUCAUGCCAGGGCAACAGAAUGAGACUUUGUUUAAAAAAAAAAAAAAGUGACUUGAUUUAAGGGAAAAAAUGACUGGCUAUAUUCAGUCAGAUAUGGCAAAAAGUCUCAAGGUGUUAAUGUGAAUGAUUAAGGUCUUGGGGGGGGUGUCCCCUAUCAGACUACAGGUGUUUAGAGGCACAGAAAAAGGUGCAGUUGGGUUCUUAAUGUGAAAUGAUGAGAAGCACAACUCCAGUGUGUCUCUUUGUGUAGAAUGUCAGCAGACACCCCCUGCUAGAUGUGCUGGAUCAUGGGAAAGCAUUUCCAUUUGUUACUAGAUUGUUCAGAAGUUUUAAUUUAUGAUGGGUGUGGUGGCUCAUGCCUGUAGUCCCAGCACUGUGGGAGGCUGAGGCAGGAGGAUCAUCUGAGGCCAAGAGUUCAAGAUCAGCCUGGGCAACAUAGUGAUACCCUAUCUCUUAAAAAAGAAGAAGUUUUUAAAUUUGAAAUAAUAAUAGGUACUGGAUUUAUGCAAAUGUCUUUUCUGCGUCUUUUGAGAUGAGUAUCAGGUUUUUUUUUUUCCUUUUAUCAUCUGAUGAUGAACUUAAUGUUUCCAUUUGUAUUAAUGGAAUACUAAGUCCCUCUGUGAUUUCUGAACCAAGCUAUUCCUAGGCCUGAGUUUUAUUUUGUUGACACAGAAAUAAAUUAGAAGGCCAAGCGUGGUGGCAUGUGCCUGUAGUCCUAGUUGCUGAGGUAAGAGGAUUGCUUGAGCCCAGGAGUUCAAGGCUGCAGCAAGCUUUGAUUGCGCCACUGCACUCCAGCCUUGGCGACAGACUAAGACGCUGUCUCAAAAAAAAACAAAAACGACAAAAAAAAAACAAAACAGAAAAAAUAAACUAAGGCAAUGACAGUCCCUGGCAAAUGCUGGGAGGGAGGCAGCAGUGGUCAGGGAAGGUAACCCUGAAGCAGGACUUGUAAAGCAAAUAAGAUUGGGAGGCCAAGGUGGGUGGAUCACGAGGUCAGGAGUUCGAGACCAGCCUGGCCAACAUAGUGAAACCCCGUCUUUACUAAAAAUACAAAAAAAUUAGCCAGGUGUGGUGGUGGGUGCCUGUAGUCCCAGCUACUUGGGAGGCUGAGGCAGGAGAAUCUCGAACCCAGGAGGCGGAGGUUACAGUCAGCUGAGACCGCACCAUUGCACUCCAGCCUGGGUGACAGAGCAAGAUUCCGUCUCAAAAAAAAAAAAAAAAAAAAAACCAAGAAGAAAAGGAAUGAAUUAGAACUUCUUCUGCUUGGACUUAAGGGCAUCAUCAGGCAGGUUUUGGGUAGGAUAGCAGGGGAGGCAGAGACAUAGUCGGGGUCAGUGGUCAUGAGUGUGGCUUUGAGCCCAAAAACUUGGUUUCUGUUCCCUACUUUGCCACUCAGUAGUGCAUGACUUUGGCCAAAUUUCUUAAAUUCAUGAAGCAAGUUUCCGGGUGAAUGAAAUGGGGAUAAAAAUAGUGUUCAAACCUAUCCGUUGGUUUGUGUGAAACUGAAAUGAAUAGUAUCGUGCAGGUACUUGUGAGCAAGGGGAGCUGCUGUUUCCUGUCCCUUUAUGAUGGGAAAUAUCUAGACAAGUUCCCAACCCUCUGCACUGCAGGCUGCAUGGCACGGAGGGUCUUGUAACACCAGCUGGGGCUGGCCUUCUUUUAGGAGCUUCAGUGGUUCUGAAAACUUUUAUUUGUUUGUUUGUUUUAGUAGAUGUGGGGUCUUUCUGUGUUGCCCGGACUGGUCUCAAACUUCUGGACUCAAGUGAUCCUCCCCCGCUCAACCUCCCAAAGUGUUGGGAUUACAGGUGUGAGCCACUGUGCCCAGCCUUGAAAACUUUUUCAGGUUCUUCCAGGGUUACUGGGCUAUUAAAUAUUUCUAUUUCAUUAUAAGUCAGUUUUUCAAAGUUAUAUUAUCUUAAUUACCUUUUUUAUAUGUAUUAGUGUAGAGUAGCAUUUUAUAUUUUGAUAUCCUCCUUAUGCAUAGUUUUUCACUUUUUAUUCCUAGUUUUUCGUUUUUAAUAAGACUUUCAAGAAAUUUAUUUUAUUGGCCUUUUGAAAAAAGCAGCUUUAGAUAAAGUAAGCAGUUCUGCUUUCAUUUUAUAAUUUAUUUCUACUUUUGUUUCAUUAAUCUUUUCCUCCGGCAUGCCUUGGAUUUUGUUGUGUUACUCUUUUUCUAGAGGCUCGCAUUGUGUGUCUGGUUCACUUAUGAUCACGCUUGCCUACUUUUAAGAAUGGAAGAGGGGAGGUGGAGGGUGGCUGCACAGUCGAGGGUGUGAGGCAGUCUUGCUCUAGCCCCACCAUGCCCUCAGCCCGCUGUGGCCACGCUGGUUCCUCAAUUGCUGGGGCGUGCAGUGUCUGUAAGGGAGGCUACUGAUGCCAUCCGAGGAAGAUGUAAGGUUUCGUGUGGGCAGCGAGAGCCUAGCAGGCAUGUGGGGUGCCCAGCAAAGGGUAACAGUGGACAGUUGUUGCCUCAUUCCACAGAGUUUUGAUUUUUUUUUUUUUUUUAAUGGUCACUCCAUCAACAUCCCCCAUGGCCAGAGCCUGAGCUGGUCCCCAGAGACACAGGCAUUCAGCUGACAGCCUCGCCUUCACGCUGCUGCUGUUCUCAUGGGGGACAGGCCUCAGGUGGCAAUGCACAAAUCAUUAGUUAAGGGCAGUUGUGACAGUUACCAAGGAGUGUAGUCCCCCGCCCCCCGCCCAGUGAAAACAGCCCUAACCAGGGGUGGGGACCUUUGGGCUCUGACCCGAAGGGUAGGAGAAGCUGGAAGGACAGCAUUCCUGUCUGCGAAGGCAGGAGCAAAGCUGCCAGGCUAUGAAGGAAAUGGCUGGAGCCUGAAGUCAUGCAAGCUGGGGCUGGCAGGGACAGGGCCAACUUCCAGGCCUGGGGGCCACCAUGAGGAUUCAGGACGUGACCCCCAGGGCACAUGAAGGCCUUCCAUCUGUAUUUAAGAAAAGACUUUAUCAGACGAGUAUGGUGGCUCACGCCUGAAUCUUAGCACUUUGGGAGGCUGAGGCAGGUGGAUCACGAGGUCAGGAGUUCAAUACCAGCCUGGCCAAUAUGGUAAAACCCCAUCUCUACUAAAACUACAAAAAUUAGCCAGGCAUGGUGGCGCACGCCUGUAGUCCCAGCUACUCGGGAGGCUGAGGCAGAAGAAUCACUUGAACCCGGGAGGUGGAGGUUACAGUGAGCCAAGAUCGCGCCACUACACUCCAGCCUGGGUGACAGAGUGAGACUCCGUCUCAAAAAAACCAAAAGACUUUAUCUUAUUUCCUAUAUGUUUGUGGUUUCAGUCCUGAUGUAUAAUUUGACCCUAGUUAGAAUGGUUAUCUGAGGAAGUGGCCUGUACGAUUUCUGCUUUUUUAAAUGUGUGGCUCCCUUUCUUCAUUGAUUAACGUAUGAUUAUUUUUAUAAAUGUUCCAUGGCAGUGGGAAGGGAUUCUCUGUCACAUUCCACAUCUGGAUCAGUUCCUCCCCAUUUUGUUGGUCAAAUCCGAUCUGCCAUAUCCUGUGUAAUGACAAGUGAGUUGCAUUCUCACCGUCACUCCUGGGGUCUCUCCGCUUCCCCUGAGCUGGCUCAGCAGUCUGCUCCAUGUGUUUUGAUGCAGGGUGACCCAUUGGUAUUCCCGACACUAACGCCCCCGUCUGUGGACUGCUUGCUGCUUGGGCUUCACUGUGUCUGGUGUUGACAGUGCAGACCUAAAGGUGUGCACACAUGUGCACACACACUCCGCUGUCUUCUUGUUUGCACUGGACUUAAAUAUCUAUGAGGGUUAUUUUCAACUGCUGAAUUUGGAAUGAUUUUUAUAUCUUUUCUGCUUUCUGCCCAUGUACAUGUGUUUAUUUUACACUGUUGUGAUUGGUAGUUACUAUGUGGGGACACAAUUACUUGGGCUGAAAUAAUCCACCUGUUGUGGUUGGGGUCCUCUGGGGCAUUCCAGGGUGAGAGGUUGUCACUGCCACCUGGGCCAUGUGGGCCGGCACCAGCAUUUUGUGGUUACGAAUUCUACAGUCACAAAUAUCUUUGGGCAAAUCCCCUUCUAUACCUCAAGGCAGCUUUUGGUUUGCAACCCCACUGGCCAGAGGGAAGGGCCAGUCACUUGGCUCUCUCACUGCCCUGCGCCCCAGAUGGUUCUAGGGCUGCUGUUUUCCCUUGGCCCUGCCAACACCACUGUUUUUACUUCUGCUCAUUGGCUGAGUGCAGUGGUUCCUGGAAGCCAGUGGCACGUUUCCCCGCGUAGCUCGCUUAUCCCACAGCACACACCCAAGGGUUCUGUUGCUAACACGCUGAAUUAAUUCUUUGCUCAUCUUACAGAGUGUGUUUUGACUGCCCCCAUUUCUGAGGCCUUGUAAGGCCAGAGCUUUGUUGCUUCAUCGGCAGGUUGGGACUUAGAUGGCCGUGAAUGUUUCCUCUCUGCUGCUGCAGUAAGUAAGUGCCCGCACCAUAGUGUGUUUGGAGGCUGAAGUUGAAGCGAGGCUGUGAGGGGAGAUGGACGUGUGAGGAGGGAUGAUGGGGCUUGAGCAAAGUGGGGGAGGGGGCAAAGGCAGUUGGCCCAACACAUUCCCCACCCCUUUGAGAGGUCUGAGGCCUGCAGACCUGGCUCGGAGCCCACCUGGUAGUCCUCAGACUGUGUGUGUGUGUGUGUGUGUGUGUGUGUGUGUGUGUGUGUGUGUGUGUGUGUGUGUGUAAAAGAGAGAAGUUGUGGAGAAAUGGGGGGCUGAUUCUGCUCAGAUUCAUCAGGAUGAGUAGAAGGCACCCAGCUCUCACCCUGGCCUGACAUGUGUGUCCCUGAGCAGGUUACAGUCCUCUCUGAGCCUCUGCUUCCCAUCUGGACCCUGCUGGGCAGGGCUUCUGAGCUCCUUAGCACUAGCAGGAGGGGCUCCAGGGGCCCUCCCUCCAUGGCAGCCAGGACAGGACUCUCAAAUGAGGACAGCAGAGCUCGUGGGGGGCUCCCACGGACCCGCCGUGGGCCCAGGGGAGGCAGAGCCUGAGCCAACAGCAGUGGUGCUGUGGACCGUGGAUCCUGAGGGUGGCCUGGGGCAAGUACCGGCUGAGGGUCCAGGUGGGCUUUGUGUACCUUUGGGUCCUGGGGCCCUGGUGACUUGGACUCCAGGUUAGAGUCAAGUGACAGGAGAAAGGCUGGUGGGGCCCUGUGCUUCCGACUUCAUUUCGAGUGAUGGCAGUUCCCAGGAAGGAAUCCACAGCUGACGGUGGCUGACAGAUCAGAGAAUGGAAGGCGAGGCAGGCGGGCGUCUGCGUGACCUCAGGUGCUUGGGGCCCAGCAGACCCAGAGAACCAUUUCCACUAGGCCAGGGUGCCGGAAGUGUCCACAGGUCUUAGAUUCCCUGUUCAGAUGAAAAGAUUUGUGCCUUUAAUGAUAAAAGUGAUCUGCAUAGAGUCAAAAAUUCAAGCCAUGGGUAUAAAAUGCAAGUAAAAUCCCUGCCCUCACCUAUCCCACCCUACUACACAGAGAUGUCCUCUCGAGUUUCCUAGACUCACUCUGGAAAUUUCUGUAUACACACAGAAGCUUGUGCCUCUGCUCGUGAAGGCAGAGGGAGGGAGAGCUGAAGGGCCAGCACCUUCUCACCUGUGGGCCCCCUCAGUGCUCGGUCCCAGAGCAUGCAGGACUGUGCCUCGUGUUCAGUUUGCUGGUCUGACUUCAUGCUCCUUGGGCAGGAUAUGCAUGUGCCAUGCUAGGAGACAUGUGGAUGUGAAGCUGGGGGACAAUGUCCCCUGGCUAUGCCUUUACAAGGGAAGUAAGGAAGGUAGGAGGUGAGCCUGGGAGGGAGGGAGGGAGGCGCGGAGCCGCCGCAGGUGUUUCUUUUACUGAGUGCAGCCCAUGGCCGCACUCAGGUUUUGCUUUUCACCUUCCCAUCUGUGAAAGAGUGAGCAGGAAAAAGCAAAA